CAACCCUCAAGCCCCAGCGGCUUGGUGUUGGGGACCGGCGACCUCGCUGAAAGCCCUCCGGGGCCCAGCGUCCGCCGCCCCCGAAAUGAAUUGGCGGCCUCGUCGCGGCCUCCCCUGCGUAGUAGCACAACCUCGCAACGGGAGCGCGACGCGGCCACUGCCGUAAAACGCCCAACUUUUUUAG
This 184-nucleotide unclassified non-coding RNA is filed under the name Pochonia sp. Its description in RNAcentral is "partial internal transcribed spacer 2". RNAcentral also lists the same sequence under 1 other name. The record is from RNAcentral. Lineage: Eukaryota; Fungi; Ascomycota; Sordariomycetes; Hypocreales; Clavicipitaceae.